CCGGCGCGCGCUCCUGGCGGGAAGGGCCGUAGAGCCGUGCGGGCGGGCGUCUGUCCCCCGACAGCGCAGGCUCCUGCCGCUUCCCAGGAUCGCAGCCUGGGGCUGUAGCUGUGUCAGACGCCUCCCCGCCCCGAGACAGAGGGGAGACCGGGCCGAGGCGAGGAAAGCUGCUGCAGCCUGCUUCCCCCUCCCCCCCAAACGAAAACCAGCCAGCGCUGCCCGACACAAAUGCAGUCUCGCCCGGGUUCCUACACCUGUUUUUUGAAAUGAAGAGGUUACAGUCACCAUUUGAAAACUGAGGAGCUGGCAAUGAAAUUCUCAAACAUACUGGAGAUUUUUAUUACUGUAUAUUCAAUUAGUGGGAAAAGUUGUAUCUUGAUUUUUUGAAUUUGUAUCUGAUCUCUGCUAGGUUUGUAAAUGGAGAACUACAAGAAAUAUACUGAAUUCUUAAAUGUGUUGUCCUAUGUAAACGGUUGAAUUACAAUGAACUUUUCUGAAUGAAUUAGUCUAAAUUUUUGUGUCUCCCAAACAAUUUAUUCAUCAUGUACAAGGAUACAAGUUAGAAAAAAAAUAACAGCAAUAAAACAAGGUGAUGCAAGACUGUUUUGUACAAACCAAAAGGAAUUAAGUGAUUUCCAGAAUUAUUAUAAAGACAAAAAAAGAUCAAGUUUCAAUAUUUUAUUCAAGUUGGGUUUUUGUUUAUUUCAUUUUAAGUAGUGUCAAACACAGCAUUUUGGGAUCUAGUUCCACACCAAAUGGAAGACUAAAAAUGUACCCAUUCAAUUGCUAAAAAAGGUGGUCAUAAAACAAAAGUCCAUUUUAAAUUCAGAAUGAUGUUAUGUGAUAACAGUUACAAAGACUCUUCCCUGCUUAUGGCUCUGUCUUGCAAGCUUUUCCAUGUUUAGUGCAAGGGAAAGGAACCACAACACAAGACAAGUAUUGACUGAGUGACAUCAAACCUGCACACCAAAAUUAUACAAGGUGAACAAUCUAAAGCACUCUAAAGACAACUGUAGGGUAAGAUAACUAAAUAAGACAAACAGUUAAUGAAAUAUUUCUCUAAAAAUAUCUUUUUUCCUGACAAUUUUGCACACUUCAUCAUGGACUGAAAUUUUGAUAAGUUAAUAUUCAAAAACUAUGCUUCUUGAAUUAAGAGUUCACUAUAGUGGAUCACAAUCUCCAGUCAUAGUUUCUAAUCAUAUUGUUUGUCCUUAUAUAGCCAUUACUCUAGAAUAGGUCAUCAGUAUCUUCAUAUCCCUUGUAAUGUAAUUAGCAGCUCUGAUGGGCAACAGCCUUCCAAAAAAAGCCUGGAAUUAGGGGUUUGUUUUUUUAAGUUUUCUUCUUUUCUUCUCAAAGAAUAAUACUUUAAAGCUUAGCUGUCUUUAACGAGGUUUAACAUGAUAUACAUAACAAUACUUGCAUCCCAGACAUAAAACAUUGAAAGGUUCACUAAAUUCUGAAGGUAGCUAUGCUGUAAAGUAUUUUCAAAUUAGUGACUGUACAAUCCCUUUUUAUGCUUCAAAUUCCAAUCCUAGACCAAGUUUGUGUCCACCCGCAUUGACAUUCUUGCCAUCCAAUAAAGCCGACAAUGUCAGUUUGAUACCUGCAUAAGUGAACAAUGAGAGAGAGAAAGUAAAACCUGGAAUAUAGGCACCACAUAAAAUAAAGAGUGUGUAUAUUCUGCUUCUCUGUAUUGGCUGACUGAUAAUAUAAUUUGGUUGUAUGGCGGUAAUUAUUCUUGAAAGGAUUGUUCUUUUAAAAUACUUGAAGACUGCCUGAAAUGGUGGAUGUGCAUCCUUUUUGCUCUUCUAUCAAAAGAAAUAAUGAACACAACAACUUAGGGCUAAAUUCUGCUAUGUUUA
Molecule: long non-coding RNA, 1862 nt
Organism: Pelusios castaneus (West African mud turtle)
Lineage: Eukaryota; Metazoa; Chordata; Testudines; Pelomedusidae
Source: Ensembl